AAUGAGAUAGUUGGGUCAAAUGGUGGUUCCAUUCCAAGUUUUCUAAGGAAUCUCCAUAUUGCUUUCCAGACUGGUUGCACCAAUUUGUAGUCCCACCAGCAAA
Molecule: microRNA precursor, 103 nt
Filed under: Marmota monax (woodchuck)
Lineage: Eukaryota; Metazoa; Chordata; Mammalia; Rodentia; Sciuridae
Source: RNAcentral